Molecule: ribosomal RNA, 276 nt
Filed under: uncultured bacterium
Lineage: Bacteria
Description: partial 16S ribosomal RNA
Rfam family: Bacterial small subunit ribosomal RNA
Source: RNAcentral
GAUGAACGCUAGCGGCAGGCCUAACACAUGCAAGUCGAGGGGCAGCACGGUGUAGCAAUACACUGGUGGCGACCGGCGCACGGGUGCGUAACGCGUAUGCAACCUACCCAUAACAGGGGAGUAACACUGAGAAAUUAGGUACUAAUACCCCACUAACAUCAGGACCGGCAUCGGUUCUGGUUGAAAACUACCGGUCGGUUAUGAGUGGGCGAUGCGUUGUAUUAGCUGGUUGGUGAGGUAACGGCUCACCAAGGCAACGAUACAUAGGGGGGACGU